ACCCAGCUGACGAGUCCCAAAUAGGACGAAACGCGCGUCGUGGAU
This is a non-coding RNA of Schistosoma mansoni, 45 nucleotides long. The record is from Rfam. NCBI's taxonomy places the organism in Eukaryota, Metazoa, Platyhelminthes, Trematoda, Strigeidida, Schistosomatidae.